UAGGGAAUCUUCCACAAUGGGUGCAAACCUGAUGGGGCAAUGCCGCGUGAGUGAAGAAGGUCUUCGGAUCGUAAAGCUCUGUUGUUAGAGAAGAACACGUGCUAGGUAACUACUAGCGCCUUGACGGUAUCUAACCAGAAAGUCACGGCUAACUACGUGCCAGCAGCCGCGGUAAUACGUAGGUGACAAGCGUUGUCCGGAUUUAUUGGGCGUAAAGGGAGCGCAGGCGGUCUGUUUAGUCUAAUGUGAAAGCCCACGGCUUAACCGUGGAACGGCAUUGGAAACUGACAGACUUGAAUGUAGAAGAGGAAAAUGGAAUUCCAAGUGUAGCGGUGGAAUGCGUAGAUAUUUGGAGGAACACCAGUGGCGAAGGCGAUUUUCUGGUCUAACAUUGACGCUGAGGCUCGAAAGCGUGGGGAGCGAACAGGAUUAGAUACCCUGGUAGUCCACGCCGUAAACGAUGAGUGCUAAGUGUUGGGGGCUUUCCGGCCCUCGGUGCUGGAGCUAACGUAUUAAGCACUCCGCCUGGGGAUUACGACCGCAAGGUUG
Molecule: ribosomal RNA, 549 nt
Filed under: uncultured bacterium
Lineage: Bacteria
Description: bacterial SSU rRNA
Rfam family: Bacterial small subunit ribosomal RNA
Source: RNAcentral